This 1747-nucleotide unclassified non-coding RNA is filed under the name Leishmania donovani. RNAcentral's name for it is "gene:LdHU3.26.1360(CDS-product:hypothetical_prote in_conserved)". The record is from RNAcentral. Lineage: Eukaryota; Euglenozoa; Kinetoplastea; Trypanosomatida; Trypanosomatidae.
ACCCUACACCACACGCGCCUCAGGCCCACUCCACUUCGGUGAACUCCGCCCGCUUUCCCGCCCCUCUACUCGUGCGACUUUCUUGACAUUGCAAGGGCGAUUUGCCGUCAUGCUGCGCCGCACUCAAGCUUCUCUCUUCCGACGCACGCCGGUGCGCCUCAGCGGCGGCGAGCUCUACCAUCCGCCCAAACUGGAGGACAUCCCGCCAUCCUCGGCCACGAAGGGCUUCUUCGGCGCCUACAACGGCGGCCUCGUCAUGCUGCGCUUUAUCGAUCUGAAGUGGAUGAUGAACCGCGCCGUCGAACUGGGCCGCGAGUAUUACAUCUCCGCCCCGACGCUGUACCUCUUUCUAUGGAUGUUCUGCUGGAAGGGCUUUGUGAUCAUGCGCUACGGCGAUGGCAACCCGCCGCGCCAUGUAGACUGGAACACCGAGGAGGCCGGUUAUCUGCCUCAGGGCUUCGAGCAGACGAAGGUCACCAAGGCGAUUUAAGCGGAGGACAGGAAGAAUACUGCGAGUGUCAAGACAGCGGCGCUGGCAGCAGUUACCAAGACUGCCACGCCGGUUGCGCCACCACAAAGCCGCGCGUGCAAGAAAUGGGAUGAGAUAAGGCGGGAGGCUUUUAGUGAUCGAUUUUUUUUCAUUUGGCAGCGGCAACGCGACGCUAUCGUGCGUGCCUGCGCAUGUGUGUGCCGCUCUCUCUCUCUGUGCGCAUCUCAAGAAGUGCAGCGGAGGACGCGAGGACAGGGCGGCAGACGUCGGCCGCACGCGUGAGGAUGUCUUGUCUGUGAGAGCCACGGCGGCUUAUGCACCUCCGAGUGUUUCAGCGCUGACCACACACCCCUCCUCCUCUCUUUGUCGUGCGCCUACCGCUGUUAGACACAAGUCGAAGCCGUCACGUAUCUUCUCCGCAUCCACUUCACAUCCCCCUCAAGCUCCCGUAUCCGUGCUUGUGCAUUCGUCUUUAUGCGCGAGAGGUGCUCCCUGUGAUAGUUCGGAUUACUUGUUUCUGUUUUGUAGUUAGGAAAUGUGAUGCACACACACACACGCACAUGCAACACACACCCUUUUCGUACUUGUGCCCCACCCGUCUCUUCGUCUUUUGCCCGCGCCCUCAACUCGCCCUCCCCCUCCCCCUUUUACUAUGGCGUAAUCUCUGGCCCUCCCCGUUGGUGUGUCGAGACGGUUCUACCUGCACGCGCGGCCGCUUCGCCCUCCUCCACACCCUGACUAACUCUCCUUGCAUCUCCUCCUGCCUGUCCUCACCCCCCUGUGCCUCGUGCGCAGAUUCGCGUGGCAACACGCCCGAUUACGGAUCUCCAUUGAGCGAAAGCGGGGCGAGCCGGGAAGCGGAGGAGCAGCGUCAAGAGCGGCCACAUGAGCGUUGACGAGGGAUAAUGGAGGCGGAGGCGAAGAAGGAUCGGGCAGACGUGUGUGUCUCGUUCUCUCACUGCGUGAAUGCGUAUCUUGCGUGCUUGCAUCUCGUACGUGUUCGCGUGAUUUUAAGGACGACUUUCCGUCCCCCCGCCACACAGAAGGAAAGGCAAAUAUCAACGUGGACGAAGGGACCACGCUACAGCGUGCAUAGUGGUCGGAUGACGAGAACGCUCCUCGACAGUGGAGGGCCAGGUAUCCACGAAGAAGCGCCGCAGUGCCGCUGAUGUGUGUGUGUGUGUAUGUGCGCCGCUCUUCUCUCCACCUUUCCGAUCUGCGCACAGCGUGAAGCAGUGCCGUCACCCAGAUACUGAG